Molecule: transfer RNA, 78 nt
Filed under: Xenorhabdus hominickii
Lineage: Bacteria; Pseudomonadati; Pseudomonadota; Gammaproteobacteria; Enterobacterales; Morganellaceae
Description: tRNA-Phe
Rfam family: tRNA
About the family: Transfer RNA (tRNA) molecules are approximately 80 nucleotides in length.
Source: RNAcentral
UGGAACUUUGGCGUAGAGGGUUCGCGCGGAUGCCUGAAGAGCAUCAGGACUCGGUUCGAUUCCGAGAGGUUCCACCCA